AGCGAACGCUGGCGGCAGGCUUAACACAUGCAAGUCGAGCGGGCACUUCGGUGUCAGCGGCAGACGGGUGAGUAACACGUGGGAACGUACCCUUCGGUUCGGAAUAACGCUGGGAAACUAGCGCUAAUACCGGAUACGCCCUUUUGGGGAAAGGUUUACUGCCGAAGGAUCGGCCCGCGUCUGAUUAGCUAGUUGGUGGGGUAAUGGCCUACCAAGGCGACGAUCAGUAGCUGGUCUGAGAGGAGGAACAGCCACACUGGGACUGAGACACGGCCCAGUCCCCCGGGGGAGGGGGCGGGGGGAAAUUGUGAACAAGGGGCGCAGGCCGGACCCACCCAUGCCGGGGGAGUAAGAAGGCCUUUGGGUUUUAAAACUUUUUUGUCCGGGGACGAAAAUGAGGGUACGGAAAAAAAAACCCCGGGCUACCUUCGUC
Molecule: ribosomal RNA, 433 nt
Filed under: uncultured bacterium
Lineage: Bacteria
Description: partial 16S ribosomal RNA
Rfam family: Bacterial small subunit ribosomal RNA
Source: RNAcentral